Molecule: long non-coding RNA, 3316 nt
Filed under: Takifugu rubripes (torafugu)
Lineage: Eukaryota; Metazoa; Chordata; Actinopteri; Tetraodontiformes; Tetraodontidae
Description: lncRNA (ENSTRUG00000028688.1)
Source: RNAcentral
GUCCUAUUUCAGUAGAACCUGGUGUCAGGUGUUAUCUGGUGGGAGGUUCACAUGACAUCUGCAGCGCUUUCUCUUUCUUUGAUGAAAACAACAUUGUGAUGUGUUCUGAUUUUAAUGUUUCACUGAUGUAUGAUUUUAUGGGUAUUUGGGAUUUUCUUUUUUUUGUGGUCAUUUUCUCAAACUCAAGGAUCUGUAUUUUUAAAAGAUGCUUGACAGCAGAAAACUCAGGCGGAAACCUUUACGGUUCCACUCAGCACAGUCUUGAAAUUAAAAUAAAACCAAUAAAGGAGACCUCCUGCACCAGAGAUGGGACUGUAGUGGUGUUGUUUUGAGUCCAUUCCAGCAGCAUCAAUUCCCCCUGGCAGCAUCUGAUGCCUAUUUCUCCACUUGUCUGCAGAGAAACCACUCCCACAGGGUCCCCCUGGCGGUGUUAUUGGAGUCCUCGGAGGUGUCGUUGCCAUCGGCCUCAUCGCCGGCGUGGCCGUCACCGUUUUCAUGGUCCAUCGGCGGCAGCAGAAGACACGCACUGAGACCGAUAAUGACCUGACCGACCUCCCACCUGCUCACAAGCCCGCCCCUCCCCCGCCCAAAAAGAAGAACAGCGACAUGAAGGGACACUUGACAUCCGACGACAUUCAGGACUCUGGAAGGCGUCCGGAGGAGCUGAAUCCGGCUGAAAUCAUGUGCUACCCACGCGUCUGUAACACGGAACCCUUCCCCGAGCCUCAGCCCGCUCCAGCCUACCCUCCCGUCACCUUCCUGCCUCAGAACCCCUAUCAGCAGCAUCCAACCAACGAGCCCACCUACUCCAACACAGGCUUCCCUGCCCCCGGCCCACGCGCACCAUUCUCGUUCCCCAAGGAGCAGUCGGUGUAAGACGCCCCUUAACUUUUAGCGAACGGCGCCAUGAUCGCUUCAUGGAAAACAAAAGCCCUGCUAAAGGAUUGCUGUUGAUUCUGUCUGUUUUUUAAGCUUCAAACAUCAUCUCAUGUGAACUUGCCCCCCCCCCCCCCCACCCUCUCCUCUCCCCAUGUAUUGUGGUCUGCUUGCUUCACUCUGUAGAUGCAUUUUCACCAAGCAGAGCAGUUCAGUCCAGUACGCAAUUCGUUUUUACGAGUCACAUGACAUCAAAGCAGUUACAUCAUCAAGUGCUGCUUAAUUGGGGAAAAAAGAGCCCAUCAGAAAUUGCGGGUCUCAUCAUGGUAGCUUUGACUUUAGACGGCAGAAAUGUAAAUAAUUGGGCAGCGUACAGAGCUGAACUGUGUGGAGAUGCAGUGUAUACGACCCAGCACAGUGUGUGAUGUUAGCGUACCCUCCUCCAACACACUUUCACCCCCUCACACACCCACUCCAUGUCUGAGUGCAUCCUCACCUUUAUAUUCUAUUUUUUAUUUGAAACCCUGUACAGAUUUGUCACUCAUGAGCUCGUUUCUUAUUUUUUUCCUUAUUUCACCCCACAGUGUUAGUGACCUUUUAAAGAAACGUGCUUCUUUUCAUUUGGUUUGUUUGUCUGUCAUUCUUAUGCUUGCCUCUUUGAAAUUAAUAUUCUAUACUGUAUGUGUGACUGGUGUGUAGUGGUGGGAAAAAAAGAGAAAACUUUUUGAUUUCUGAAACUAAUUAUAAUAAAAUAAUGACAUGGACCACCCCUUUAAUGACAGUUAAUGACAGGGUUGUUAUGUGCAGAUUUGAAUUGGCAGUCUCUCAUCUGAAUCCUUCAUUAAUUUUUCAUUAUGGCUUUGCUAUUAUGGCGAUUGACUGGAUAUUUCAGACUAUUUAAAAGCGAAUGUUCCUCAUUAGCUACAACAAAAAACAAAGGGCUUGAAAUUUGACAGUAACUAUUUCUUCUGUGUCUCCAAUUAUUAUUAUUAUUAUUAUUAUUAUUAUUAUUAUUAUUGGUCCAUAUACUCUCAUGCUGGUAUUUGUUUAAUCUACCUUGUCUGUUGGGAAUUAGAAGCGUAGUUUGGGGAUGUGCUAAUUAUUCCCAGUUUACAUUAUCAUUUCCCAUAUGCUGUAUUUUCCAUAUCCGUAUGCAAACACUGGGGUUCGUUUAGGCUAACUGUUGCAGAGUUAGGAAGCAGCAGGAGCUGCUGUUUAUGCAGAUGCACCAGGUGAAGACAAUCAUGCAUUGGGUUGUCCUAGAAAAAGAUUGGGAACAAAUAUUGUUUCUUGUUUUUUGGGUUGCCCAAUCAGAAAGGGAACUACUUGUUCAAGGGAAGUUCACAUAUUUAACAUAUUUAAAGAGUUUGGUUCAUCAUGACUGGUAGUAAUAUAUUGUCGGAUACACUGAGGAGAAAUGCCUGCUGCUGUAUUUUUUUAGGAAAUGCUCAGUUAUAUUUGAUAGCACUUGAUUUAUGUGCAGACUACAGUUUACACUCCGUCCUUUUCAGACCAUACAUAAGCUAACGUGCUUUACGAGCCAAUCUGAGCGUUCUGCCUCUGACACGCCAGCCCUGUCGAGACAGAACAGUCCAUUCAGCUAUGCUAAAGUUCACUCUUUUUUUUGCCAUGUCAGAUGUUGUUUUGUUUUUUUUUAAAAAGAGAGAUGAAGCAAAUUUUUGUGUUUGUGCUAAAUGUUAAAAUAAGAUGUUGAAGGUAAUUUAGUGUUUAAAUCUUAAUGGUGGUUAAUGGAAUCGAGUAAAACUUGUGAGACUUUCUCCCGUGCUCACCUUGUUGUCUUGCGAUGGCUAUAUGCGAUAUGUGUGCUAGCAUUUAGUUUAAGCAGUGAUGUCUGGUCACUGAAGGAGUUUGAGCCUUUUACUGUACCUGCUGUGUGGAAAAAACACUUAAAACACCGAGUCUACAUGUGACACUUUGACUAUUCAGAAAAACCCUCCAGUUAAUAUUAUUAUUAUUAUCAUCAUUAUUAUUUUUUAAUAUUAUUAAUAUUGGUUUCAAUGUAUGCUUAACUGCAUUGCAUGUAUGUUUUACAUAGUUUUUCAGUCACAUUUAAUUAUUUCAAAUGUCCUGAAGAUAACUGCCAUGUCUGUUUUCACCCAUGACCUUGUUUUAUUUUGUGUUUUGUACAUUAUAGGUUAUUAACAUUAGAGUUUUUGUUUUUUGUUUUUUUGGGGUUUUUUGGGUAAUAUGCUGUGAACGUUUAGGCCUGAAGCAUAUUUGGUCUGACACUACUUGUACAACUGUUAAAGGGUAAUAUCUGAUUAAAUCUUACAGAUUUCAGCUCUUUUUUUAAAAUAAUGGCAUGAUGUGAAAUGAUUCAUCCUGUUUUGUUUUAUUCCGUGUAAAUAUUAACAGUGUAUCUGAUGUGUGAAAAAAGGAAAUGCAGUCUAACAUUAAACAUUCACACACUACCCUGAAC